AUUCCGGCAACGGGGAUUAGCGGCGAACGGGUGAGUAAUGCAUACUUAACAUGCCUCGGCGAGGGAGAUAGCUGCCCGAAAGGGUAAUUAAUAUCCCAUAGUAGCCUUUCCCUUAUGGGGAGGGUUUUAAAGGAGCAAUCCGCGCCGAGAUUGGAGUAUGUUCCAUUAGCUUGUUGGUGGGGUAAUGGCCCACCAAGGCAAUGAUGGAUAGCUGGUCUAAGAGGAUGAACAGCCACAAUGGGAUUGAGAUACGGCCCAUAUUCCUACGGGAAGCAGCAGUAGGGAAUCUUCCACAAUGGGCGAAAGCCUGAUGGAGCUAUGCCAUGUGAAUGAUGAAGAUCUUUUUGAUUGUAAAGUUCUUUUAUUGGGGAAAAUGAUGAUGGUACCCGAUGAAUAAGUGACAGCAAACUAUGUGCCAGCAGCUGCGGUAAUACAUAGGUCGCUAGCGUUAUUCGGAUUUAUUGGGCGUAAAGCAAGCGCAGGCGGACGAGUAAGUUCUGUGUUAAAAGCAGCAGCUCAACUGUUGUUUGCGCCGAAUACUGCUCGUCUAGAAUACGGUAGAAGAGUUUCGGAAUUGAAUAUGGAGCGGUGGACAUGUGUAGAUAUAUUCAAGCACACCAGAGGUGAAGGCGGAAACUUAGGCCGCUAUUGACGGUUAGGCUUGAAAGUGUGGGGAGCAAAUGGGAUUAGAUACCCCAGUAGUCCACACCGUAAACGAUGGAUAUUAGAUGUUGGGACUUGAGUCUCAGCGUUGUAGCUUAGGUGUUAAAUAUCCCGCCUUAGUAGUACAUAUGCAAAUAUGGAACUCAAACGAAUGGUGGGGCACCUGAACAAGUGGUGGAACAUGUUGAUUACUUUGCCAACACACGACAAACCUUACCAAGAUUUGACAUCCCUUGCUAAACCCUAGAAAUAGGGUGGAAGUUAUCAAGGUGACAGGUGGUGCAUGGCUGUGGUCAGCUCGUGUCAUGAGAUGUUUGGGUACGUCCCGCAACGAGCGUAACCAUCCUUCUUAGUUACCUUUUUAGAGAGACUGCACAGUAAAGUAGAGGAGGGAUGGGAGCAGGUCACGUCAUCAUGCCCCCCAUAUCUUGGGCCGCACACGUGUUACAAAGGGGAGUACACAGUGUCGCAAACCAGCGAUGGUAAGCCAAUCACUAAAAGCUCGUUCAGUCCGGUAAAAGUCUGAAAUUCGCCUUUUGAAGUGGAAUCAGUAGUAUUCCGGUC
Molecule: ribosomal RNA, 1227 nt
Filed under: uncultured Mycoplasma sp.
Lineage: Bacteria; Bacillati; Mycoplasmatota; Mollicutes; Mycoplasmatales; Mycoplasmataceae
Description: bacterial SSU rRNA
Rfam family: Bacterial small subunit ribosomal RNA
Source: RNAcentral